Molecule: transfer RNA, 72 nt
Filed under: Camelus bactrianus (Bactrian camel)
Lineage: Eukaryota; Metazoa; Chordata; Mammalia; Artiodactyla; Camelidae
Also listed under: 2 other names
Rfam family: tRNA
About the family: Transfer RNA (tRNA) molecules are approximately 80 nucleotides in length. Their secondary structure includes four short double-helical elements and three loops (D, anti-codon, and T loops). Further hydrogen bonds mediate the characteristic L-shaped molecular structure. tRNAs have two regions of fundamental functional importance: the anti-codon, which is responsible for specific mRNA codon recognition, and the 3' end, to which the tRNAs corresponding amino acid is attached (by aminoacyl-tRNA synthetases). tRNAs cope with the degeneracy of the genetic code in two manners: having more than one tRNA (with a specific anti-codon) for a particular amino acid; and 'wobble' base-pairing, i.e. permitting non-standard base-pairing at the 3rd anti-codon position.
Source: Rfam by way of RNAcentral
GAGGGUGGAGCUCGGUGGUAGAGCACGUGCUUAGCAUGCACGAGGUCCUGGGUUCAGUCCCCAGCACCUCCU